RNAcentral lists this ribosomal RNA (253 nucleotides) under uncultured bacterium. RNAcentral describes it as "partial 16S ribosomal RNA". It matches the Rfam family "Bacterial small subunit ribosomal RNA", at positions 524 to 776 of the family's 1533-position model. The record is from RNAcentral.
GACGUAGGUGGCGAACGUUAUCCGGAGUUACUGGGCGUAAAGGGCGUGUAGGUGGUUUCGUAAGUCUGGCGUGAAAUAUCUCGGCUUAACCGAGGCAGGUCGUCGGAUACUGCGAGACUCGAGGACGGUAGAGGCGUGUGGAAUUCACGGUGUAGCGGUGAAAUGCGUAGAUAUCGUGGAGAACACCCGUGGCGAAAGCGGGUUUCUGGCAGACUCCUGACGCUGAGGCGCGAAGGCUAGGGGAGCAAACGGG